AACCACCAGCGAUUCUCUCGACACGUAAGCCAAACGAAACUGCAACCACAAAUGGAAGAGGUGCACGGCGUCGACGCUAGUCCGAAUCACGGUGACGAUAGCCGCCAGGCCGCCGUCCAUGUACAAACACGGCGAUCCACCGCGGCCGAUGGAUAAGGCGUAAAAGAAUAGAGGAUCAACGGCUAAAGCCAUGCCACGUGCCAAUAAAAUCAUUCGGUUCCAUCUCUGCACGCGCUUGCUUCGAGGGUCUAAUACACGCCCAAACGGCCCCGAUGUGU
RNAcentral lists this unclassified non-coding RNA (278 nucleotides) under Hevea brasiliensis (rubber tree). Lineage: Eukaryota; Viridiplantae; Streptophyta; Magnoliopsida; Malpighiales; Euphorbiaceae. The record is from RNAcentral.